AUGUACCAGGCGAUCCCCUACAGUGCCGGCCAGCUGUCGGCGUGCCUGCAGCAGUCCGAGCAGGCCGAGGCCGAGGGCGCGGCCGGCCAGGAGGGCGGGCUCGCGGCUCGCCGACACGGCGGCGAGGACGGCGGGGAGGUGGUGAGGAGGGCGGUGGCAGAGAGCCUGGUGCUGGUGGUGGGGAGGUGCGGGUGCUACCUUAGCCACGUGGUGAAGCGGCUGUUGCAGGGGCUCGGGGUGAACCCCGCCGUGCACGAGGUCACCGACGAGGCCGAGCUCACUGCAGCGGCCGUCGUCGCGCUGCUGGCGGCGUUCGUCGGUGGGAGGAACCUCGGCGGGCUCGAUCGGCUCAUGGCCGUGCACAUCUCCGGCGAGCUCGUGCCCAUACUCAAGGACGCCGGCACGCUCUAG
RNAcentral lists this ribosomal RNA (411 nucleotides) under Triticum aestivum (bread wheat). Its description in RNAcentral is "partial small subunit ribosomal RNA". The record is from RNAcentral. Lineage: Eukaryota; Viridiplantae; Streptophyta; Magnoliopsida; Poales; Poaceae.